Molecule: ribosomal RNA, 301 nt
Filed under: uncultured bacterium
Lineage: Bacteria
Description: partial 16S ribosomal RNA
Rfam family: Bacterial small subunit ribosomal RNA
Source: RNAcentral
CAGUCGCCGCGGGAAUACGUAGGUGGCAAGCGCUGUCCGGAAUUAUUGGGCGUAAAGCGCGCGCGGCGGUUUCUUAAGUCUGAUGUGAAAGCCCCCGGCUUAACCGGGGAGGGUCAUUGGAAACUGGGAGACUUAGAGUGCAGAAGAGGAGAGUGGAAUUCCAUGUGUAGCGGUGAAAUGCGUAGAUAUAUGGAGGAACACCAGUGGCGAAGGCGACUCUCUGGUCUGUAACUGACGCUGAGGCGCGAAAGCGUGGGGAGCAAACAGGAUUAGAUACCCGCGUAGUCCCUGUCUCUUAUAC